RNAcentral lists this ribosomal RNA (301 nucleotides) under uncultured bacterium. RNAcentral's name for it is "partial 16S ribosomal RNA". It matches the Rfam family "Bacterial small subunit ribosomal RNA", at positions 509 to 807 of the family's 1533-position model. The record is from RNAcentral.
CAGCCGCCGCGGGAAUACGAAGGGGGCUAGCGUUGCUCGGAAUGACUGGGCGUAAAGGGCGCGUAGGCGGUUUAUACAGUCAGAUGUGAAAUUCCUGGGCUCAACCUGGGGACUGCAUUUGAUACGUAUGGACUUGAGUGGAGAAGAGGGUCGUGGAAUUUCCAGUGUAGAGGUGAAAUUCGUAGAUAUUGGGAAGAACACCGGUGGCGAAGGCGGCGACCUGGUCCUUGACUGACGCUGAGGCGCGAAAGCGUGGGGAGCAAACAGGAUUAGAGACCCGCGUAGUCCCUGUCUCUUAUAC